This is a long non-coding RNA of Sitophilus oryzae (rice weevil), 487 nucleotides long. RefSeq lists it as uncharacterized. Lineage: Eukaryota; Metazoa; Arthropoda; Insecta; Coleoptera; Curculionidae. The record is from RefSeq and is a predicted model, not a curated record. The transcript is spliced from 3 exons.
AUUUUUCUUCGUGCUUUUCAGUUCAGCGGUAAAUUUUCUUGGUUAUAACUUUUAAUUUUAUCUAAGUGGCUCAAAAUUAUGAAAAAAGUUUUUCGGAUCAUUUUCGAAAGGUGACGGAGUAUGUGGUGGACAGUUUUUAUAUAGACAAUUUAAAAUAGUUAAGUGCUGAUAUAAAGAAAUUAAAAUGUCAAGAGCAUACAUAGAGUGAAUCAUAAUGAUAACAGUUCGAUUGGAUACGUUGUGUACAGAAAGUGGAGGGAACUAAAUUUUUAAGCUGUGCAGCUAACACUGGCGGCAUGUAAACAUUAUGUCAUACAUAACAAAUAAAAUCAAGAAAGGUACCACGCUAUGAUUUAUGUAGAAUGGAGGAAGAUAACAUCUUACUUUCUAGCAACUUUUAUUGCCAUUUUUGUUUUCUCAUAAUAUUUAUAUUUUAUGUUCUUGUAGCGGGUUAAUUGUAAAUUUACUGCCCUGAUAUUCAGUAAGU